This is a long non-coding RNA of Ailuropoda melanoleuca (giant panda), 353 nucleotides long. RefSeq lists it as uncharacterized. NCBI's taxonomy places the organism in Eukaryota, Metazoa, Chordata, Mammalia, Carnivora, Ursidae. The record is from RefSeq and is a predicted model, not a curated record. The transcript has 3 exons.
UGUGGUCUCUGCAGGUAACUGGUGUCCCAGAAGACCAGAUCCUAGUGGCCGUGUUCCCUGGCCUCCCCACUUCAGCAGAGCUCUUCAUCCUUCCCCCCAAGAACUUGACGGAGAGGAGGAAAGGCAACGAAGAGGACCUGGAACAAAUUGUAGAGAUGCUGUUUAAUGCUCUAAACCAAAACUUGGUGCAGUUUGAGCUGAAGCCAGGGGUUCAAGUCAUUGUGUAUGUCACACAGCUGACAUUAGCUCCAUUGGUGGACUCCAGUGCUGGGCACAGCAGCUCAGCCAUGCUUAUGCUCUUGUCAGUCGUGUUUGUCGGUCUGGCUGUGUUUCUGAUCUACAAGUUCAAAAGG